GUUUCCUGUCUUUUGUUCAGGUGUGUCGUAAGAAGUCGCGCUCUGAAGCAGCCAGAGGCGUUUUGACGAUCUCCCGAUAGCCCUCGAACCUUAUACAGCAUUGAGAGGGGCAGACACUGAAAGAGAAGAGAAGAGUCGGGCUGCUGGCACUGAUCAGGACUCUCAGAGGAAGCAGGAGGUUACAAGGAUGUGUGACCCCACCCUGUACCGUUCACUCUGCGAGCGAGCUGUCGCGUCUUAAAACUUCCUCUAAUGCCCGUAAAUGGACGUGUUAGUCUGAAGUGCACUUGUUUUGGAGUGGUAAUUGAGUGAUUUGUGCCGUGUCUCUUUGCUGUCUAGGGAAGGUAAGACAGAUUAUGGAGUUAUUAGUGAUUUUUCUGCUGUCUUCAGAUGUGUUUUUCUGCCUGUGGCUUUUGACCUGAUGGUUUCUGGUCACAUGACAGGCGGACUGAGAGCAGGGUGGUUCCCCGUCUCUUUUACGCCUGCCCGCUAAUUCUCACAGAGCAGCCUUAAAGGGCCGGAUAUGGGUUUAUGUUUUCCUUAUGUUGCGAGAUGGAGAGAGUGGGGGAAGUGUGCUUGAGUAAGUGAGCGCUCGGAUCCUAAACGCUAACAUAGGGUGAUUUUGUUUUUGCAUUUGAAAAGGUUUGAUGAGGAUGUUGUUACCAUAAAUGGCCAUUGUGUUGGUCUCUCUUUCCUGUCUUAUCUUUAGAGACCAGAGCUGAUGUUGGGGUUCAGAUUUCACUCAGUGACUAGUUAACUGUAAUCUGAUUUAGUUCAGGUUCAGUACAGAAUGACAGUGAGGUUGAGACUUUGAACGACGCUGGUCAUUUCUCCUUUAAAGUCAAGUGCUUUCUGGUGAAAGCCUUUAGGAAUGUUUCUG
RNAcentral lists this long non-coding RNA (880 nucleotides) under Sinocyclocheilus grahami. RNAcentral's name for it is "lncRNA (ENSSGRG00000035827.1)". The record is from RNAcentral. Lineage: Eukaryota; Metazoa; Chordata; Actinopteri; Cypriniformes; Cyprinidae.